UCAGUGCUUUUCCCUUGCUUGUUGGGUCCCUCGACCAAAUGACCCAUCGCCCAUCUUUCCCCGUUUGGCUCAGUGCUUAGGCAUCACUUUCCAGACACCAGCUCCCAGGGCGGGCUGGGGCCUGUCCUCGGUGUGCCUGUAGCCUUAUUUUCUGUACAAGAAGAACACCAUUCAAUUUGUUUGUCUCACAAGCCUAUCAAUGGGUGAAGAGGGGGAAGCUUUGGACAUUGUAUAAGAUCAAUUGGAGGGAAGAGAGGCUGGUUCUCCUCCACCACUUAGGGGUCCUACUUUCACAGAAACAUCUUCCUUUUACCUUGAGAGUCAUUUCGUGGCUUUUUGUUGGUGGAAUCUUCAUGGAAACCUAGGACUAGAUUCUAGGGGCAGGACAUCUCUGGUAUCCCAGCACCUCACCAGGGUUUGGCUCAUACCUGUUUCUCCUCUUCUUUUAUACAAGGGAGACCAAUGCACAGAGAGGGAAAGGAACUCACCCGAGGUCACACAGCAAAUCAAGGCAGGGUUGGGACCUUUCCUUUAAAGGACACUAAAAAAACUGAAAAGAGCCCUUAGGUGGGAGCCAGGAGAAGAGUAAGUUUUAGCCUCACUUUGACGCCCCUCCAGUCCCAAACAAGUCACACGCCUGUAAUCUCCGUGGACACCUCUCCCGUCCCCCUCCCCCACCUGGUUUCCUUCCUGCUAGUUCCGAUGGUGGGGGUGGGGAAUAUUUUCUGAGAGCAGACUGCUCCUUUAAGACGCCUCCCUCGCUCUCUUCCAGGCUAGUGGGAGAGCUGGGCCAGGACGUGGUGGGGGCGGGGGUGGAGGUGGGGGACCUGCAGUAGGGGUUGGUGGCAGGUCCUAGCUGCAAGGCUUGAUAGGUCCAACACUCAGAGAAUGAGUCUGCUCAGGACAAAGAAUGUCAAAUGUCCCUUUUGUUCUGGGGCAGGGUGGGGCUAGUGCCUGGCAGGCAUGGGGAAAAACAGAGCUGGAUGGACCUGUCCAGGUCAGGACUGGGUAGACAGGGGUCUCCUCUCUAGGUCAGAUAAAUGAGUCUAGUCUGCCCUCCCAGGUCCAAGAGUGCCUUGGCCUGCUGUUGCAGGAAAGUCACUUGCCUGGUCACACAGCAGAGAGGCAAGAACCUGGUAGGUCUGGGUCCCACGCACGGAUCAUGGUCUCGAGGCUUUCUCAGUGGGUUCUCCCCUCACUCACCAGCUGCAGAGCCCUCAACGGUGCAGAGCACUGUGCACUCCCAGUCUUCCCCAAACCCCCUGCAAGGGCCUCAUCACCCCAUCUCACAGGGGCGGGAAGUGACCCUCAAGGAGGGCAGUGACUGUCCCGCUCGCUGUAGGGAAGAGCAGCACCAGGAUUUGAAAGCAAGCCCUGGAACCUGUCCCCUUUCCCUUGAGGGCAAAGGUCACUCCAGGACAGAUUUUAACUGGACAAAGGGAUCGUCUGAAAGGUGAAGGGACUUGCCUCAGGUGACUGAGCCUGCCUGGGACAGGGACUGGUAGCCUCAUCCUCCGACCUGCUCUGACUGGCUUCAGACCCCGAAGAACUAAGGCUCCCAACCUCAGAAUGUGGCAGCCUUGCUUACUCGGGGCCAGCUGAAGCCCCGGGAUUGUACCUUGGAGCCCUAGGGCUCCAGCUGCUAAGACGGCGGCGGGAAGACAGCCUGACCCGAGAGCCAGCCUUCUUAUCUGCGCCAGAGACCUCACGGUGUCCUGCCACGACCCGUACCCCCAUGGCCUCCAUCCGGGACUGCUGCACAGCUCUGUUCUGAGUCCCCGCCCUGCGAAGGAGGCAACUUUCCCUUCAGGAGACUCAACAGAGGAAAAGUGAUCUCAUAAAAAGUCCCAGAGAGACUGGAACUAAUGUCAGCGUCAUGCACACUGAAAAGUACCCUCUUCAAUUCAACAAAGGUUUAUUGAGCAUCUGUCUGUACAGACCUUGUGCUGGGUGCUAGGCUGUUGUUGUUCAGUCGCUAAGUCAUGUCCAAUUCUUUGUUACCCCAGCACACCAGGCUUCCCUGUCCUUCAC
Molecule: long non-coding RNA, 2031 nt
Organism: Bubalus bubalis (water buffalo)
Lineage: Eukaryota; Metazoa; Chordata; Mammalia; Artiodactyla; Bovidae
Exons: 3
Source: RefSeq, a predicted model, not a curated record